UUUUUUUCUUCUUCUUGAUCUCCUAGUUCAGAAAUCUAAUGAGGCUCGCUUUGCUUCUGUGGUGUGUAUGCGGGAAUGUCGUGUUCUGCUGAGCCGAGAGAGGGUAAAGGGCCGUGUUCUUAUCUUCGAAGCCAGCACCGUACAGACUGAUAUUGCGUUACAACGACGAGAGGUGGUCCACAGACUCUGUGCUCUUUAAUUAUU
This 204-nucleotide unclassified non-coding RNA is filed under the name Hevea brasiliensis (rubber tree). Lineage: Eukaryota; Viridiplantae; Streptophyta; Magnoliopsida; Malpighiales; Euphorbiaceae. The record is from RNAcentral.